GCUUCCUCUUGCAAACCCCUUCUCUUCCUUUUCCCAGAAACACUGAGCAACUAUGUUGAAUGGAUUUCUCUACGAAGGUUAUUUUACAGGUCAGGAGGUUAGCUUACUUUUGUCUUUUUACUGCAUCUGUUUCAGAAGAAAUCCUCUGUGUGUCCUCCUGAAUCAUAAAGGCUGGUAAGAAUGAGAAGCCUAAGUCAUCAUUAAUCCACAGGCAAAGUGCUAUUCAAGCAGCUGUAGUGAAAGCUCUCGUAUGCUGCCCUGGAAAUAACCCCAGCCUUGACGUGGUAAAAUGACCCUAGGUGUCAGCGACACAACACCGCCACCAUGCAGUGAGUGGACGGAUGUCUGAAAAUGUGCUAGCCCUUCUGAGUUCCAGCAGCCCUCCCAGACCUGCACGCAGUACUGCAUUCACUUCAGGACACAAAAUGAACUUUUGUAAUGGAAUCAAGGAAAUGGAAAUAACAAAAACUAUUGACACAAUUGACUUGCAGUGUUCAGUAAGUGGAAAAAUUACUGAAAGUUGUGUGAGCAGCCACCUCUGCGCAUGCAGCAUGUGCUCAGCCCUACCUCCUAUCUGUACAGGUAUGUCGUGUGUACAUAUCUGUAUAUACAAUGAGAUUUCACAGCACUCCACAUUCCAGAAGGAGUGUAUGUAUAAAACUAUAAAUCAGGAAUUUCUAC
RNAcentral lists this long non-coding RNA (681 nucleotides) under Numida meleagris (helmeted guineafowl). RNAcentral describes it as "lncRNA (ENSNMEG00000019002.1)". Lineage: Eukaryota; Metazoa; Chordata; Aves; Galliformes; Numididae. The record is from RNAcentral.